RNAcentral lists this unclassified non-coding RNA (232 nucleotides) under Capnodiales sp. Its description in RNAcentral is "partial contains 5.8S ribosomal RNA, internal transcribed spacer 2, and large subunit ribosomal RNA". Lineage: Eukaryota; Fungi; Ascomycota; Dothideomycetes; Capnodiales. The record is from RNAcentral.
CGCACAUCGCGCCCUUUGGCAUUCCGAGGGGCAUGCCUGUUCGAGCGUCAUUACACCACUCAAGCCUGGCUUGGUAUUGGGCGAGGAGGCUCCCUCCCGCCCCAAUUUCGUCGGCUGGACCGUCCGUAUCUCAGCGUUGUGGUAUUAAAUUCGCUGGCGAGGAGGGCUCGCGCCGUUAAAACAUUUUCUCAAGGUUGACCUCGGAUCAGGUAGGGAUACCCGCUGAACUUAA